Molecule: long non-coding RNA, 1518 nt
Organism: Numida meleagris (helmeted guineafowl)
Lineage: Eukaryota; Metazoa; Chordata; Aves; Galliformes; Numididae
Exons: 2
Source: RefSeq, a predicted model, not a curated record
AAGUGGUGGGGUAGCGACGGGUCCGCUGCGGUCCCGCCUCGGUCCCUCCCAAUUGCGGCGUUAGCUGAGCCAUGCUGGUGGCAGCGCGCCCGUCGAGGUGCGGCUGCUGCGACUUGAACGUCCAGUGCGCUGCUGGGCCAUGGUCUUCGAAAAUGAAGGAUGGUGCUCGCCAACCCGAGGGACGUCUCAGCAAGGCAGACCUCUGGACCUUUGAACCUCUGAAACAGCGAACUCUGUUGGAAUUGUUUAGUGAAAUUUGAACUUGCCUAAAAAAGAAAAUAGUCAAGAGGCAAAAAUGGGAAUUGUUAUAAGUAGCAAUAAAAAGAGAGAAAUAAUGCCAGUCUUUGGGGAUGUACGUGUUGCUGAGAAAUCCAGGAGGGAAUGGGUGUUCUUGAAUCCCCUGCAGAGGGAAAUAAAUGACAAGACAGAAUUACUAUUAUGUUUUGUUAUGUUUGCAGGUAAAGGAACAACUGGAAAGUCACCAACAUCAAGGCGCUAUCCUUAAAAAGAUUUGUUUGUCGCUUGUCUUAAUGGGAUUGUGAUAAUGCAUAAUUGCUUUAAAGAUUACUUUCUUUUUAUGGUUUGAUUUUGAUAUUGAUGUAUAAAAAUAAUAUUGUCACCACAGGAUUUCCCCAAAGAGUCCUCCUUUUUCAUUAUUUCACAGCUACUGUCCAUUCCAAUUGUUACUGCUGCUGUAGACAAUGCCAGGAGGGAACAACCAGAAAACAACGUGGUUGGACCAAACCAGCAGUUUUCUGGCUGCUUACUCAUGCUCUACACAUGCUAUGAACAGAGGCCUUACCUGCUACAUAACAAGGAUUACUGUAUAAUCAGACAAAAAUGUAUUAACAGAAAGAGAGACAGCUGAUUACUGUGCAUUUUUGGGGAAGAUAAACUACUGAAACUUUGGGGCUCCAAAAAAGAAAGGGAGUUCAAAGAAAGCCUCUAUUACUGUUAGAUGCCAUAUCGUUUUCCCACAGUUGUUAAGGAAGCAGCGGUACUUGUGCUUUUUUUUCUCUGAAAGACAUUACUGAUCUAAGCAAGAGCAGUACCGACUUAAUUUUGUUUCAGAAGUUUCUCAUUCAGUUCAAUUUUGUUAGAAAGAAAACCUGACUGAAACAUCAUUAUGUGUGAAAAUCCAGCAAAAUAAUUGGAAAUAUCUGGCAUAAGCAGUAAUUGGUACACUUUUUUUAGCCUUUCCCUGUUUAGAUUUUCUGAGUUUACCUAGAAAUAAUGAUGGAUUUAUAAUGUUAGCUGGACGCAUAAUCUUGGCUCUCAUUAUAAAAUGGUCUUCAAGAAAAAUAGAUGAUUAUAUGUAUCUAUAAAGCUAUGUGUCAGUGAACUUCUUUUACUGACAUUUCUGUUACCAAGUACCUUUUAGAUGGUAGUGUUCCAGUAAGGAGGGAAAGGCUGGAAAUUUAGGUGAUAACCUCUAUUACUUCAGAAGGUUAUACAGAAGGCUUUAUUUCUAGAUUCUUUCUGUUAAUUCUGCCAUAAAUAAAGUACAGAUCGGUUUGA